Molecule: transfer RNA, 72 nt
Filed under: Pharomachrus auriceps
Lineage: Eukaryota; Metazoa; Chordata; Aves; Trogoniformes; Trogonidae
Description: tRNA-Leu
Source: RNAcentral
AGUCCGGCAAUUGCAAAAGGCUUAAGCCCUUUACCCAGAGGUUCAAGUCCUCUCCCUAGCUUACCCUGAACU